UGGGGAAUUUUGGACAAUGGGCGAAAGCCUGAUCCAGCAAUGCCGCGUGUGUGAAGAAGGCCUUCGGGUUGUAAAGCACUUUUGUCCGGAAAGAAAUGGCUCUGGUUAAUACCUGGGGUCGAUGACGGUACCGGAAGAAUAAGGACCGGCUAACUACGUGCCAGCAGCCGCGGUAAUACGUAGGGUCCAAGCGUUAAUCGGAAUUACUGGGCGUAAAGCGUGCGCAGGCGGUUGUGCAAGACCGAUGUGAAAUCCCCGAGCUUAACUUGGGAAUUGCAUUGGUGACUGCACGGCUAGAGUGUGUCAGAGGGGGGUAGAAUUCCACGUGUAGCAGUGAAAUGCGUAGAGAUGUGGAGGAAUACCGAUGGCGAAGGCAACCCCCUGGGAUAACACUGACGCUCAUGCACGAAAGCGUGGGGAGCAAACAGGAUUAGAUACCCUGGUAGUCCACGCCCUAAACGAUGUCAACUAGUUGUUGGGGAUUCAUUUCCUUAGUAACGUAGCUAACGCGUGAAGUUGACCGCCUGGGGAGUACGGUCGCAAGAUUAAAAGCUCAAA
RNAcentral lists this ribosomal RNA (558 nucleotides) under uncultured bacterium. RNAcentral describes it as "partial 16S ribosomal RNA". It matches the Rfam family "Bacterial small subunit ribosomal RNA", at positions 355 to 905 of the family's 1533-position model. The record is from RNAcentral.